AUUGAACGCUGGCGGCAUGCUUUACACAUGCAAGUCGAACGGUAACAGGGUGCUUGCACCGCUGACGAGUGGCGAACGGGUGAGUAAUGCGUCGGAACGUGCCGAGUAGUGGGGGAUAACGCAGCGAAAGUUGUGCUAAUACCGCAUACGUAAUGAGGGAGAAAGUGGGGGACCCUUGGGCCUGAAGCUAUUCGAGCGGCCGACGGCUGAUGAGGUGGUAGGUGAGGUAAGGGCUCACCUAGGCGACGAUCAUUAGCGGGUCUGAGGGGAUGAUCCGCCACACUGGGACUGAGACACGGCCCAGACUCCUACGGGAGGCAGCAGUGGGGAAUUUUGGACAAUGGGCGAAAGCCUGAUCCAGCCAUGCCGCGUGUCUGAAGAAGGCCUUCGGGUUGUAAAGGGCUUUUGUCAGGGAGGAAAUCCCUAGUGCUAAUAACACUGGGGGAUGACAGUACCUGAAGAAUAAGCACCGGCUAACUACGUGCCAGCAGCCGCGGUAA
This 500-nucleotide ribosomal RNA is filed under the name uncultured bacterium. Its description in RNAcentral is "partial 16S ribosomal RNA". It matches the Rfam family "Bacterial small subunit ribosomal RNA", at positions 29 to 523 of the family's 1533-position model. The record is from RNAcentral.